This 71-nucleotide transfer RNA is filed under the name Acropyga butteli. RNAcentral's name for it is "tRNA-Cys". The record is from RNAcentral. Lineage: Eukaryota; Metazoa; Arthropoda; Insecta; Hymenoptera; Formicidae.
GAUCUUAUAGUUUAUUUAAAAAUUAAAAACAUUAAAUUGCAAAUUUAAAGAAUUCUUGAAAAUUAAGAUUU